CUCAGUUCGGAUUGGAGUCUGCAACUCGACUCCAUGAAGCUGGAUUCGCUAGUAAUCGCGCAUCAGCCAUGGCGCGGUGAAUACGUUCCCGGGCCUUGUACACACCGCCCGUCAAGCCAUGGGAGCCGGGGGUGCCUGAAGUACGUGACCGCGAGGAGCGUCCUAGGGCAAAACUGGUGACUGGGGCUAAGUCGUAACAAGGUAGC
RNAcentral lists this ribosomal RNA (206 nucleotides) under uncultured bacterium. Its description in RNAcentral is "partial 16S ribosomal RNA". It matches the Rfam family "Bacterial small subunit ribosomal RNA", at positions 1287 to 1500 of the family's 1533-position model. The record is from RNAcentral.